GGCCAUAUGGAGAAGCGGCUUAACUCACUACCCUUUCACGGUAGCAUUCUCGGGUUCGAAUCCCGAUAUGGUCACCA
Molecule: transfer RNA, 77 nt
Filed under: Acholeplasmataceae bacterium
Lineage: Bacteria; Bacillati; Mycoplasmatota; Mollicutes; Acholeplasmatales; Acholeplasmataceae
Also listed under: 4 other names
Description: tRNA-Glu
Rfam family: tRNA
About the family: Transfer RNA (tRNA) molecules are approximately 80 nucleotides in length. Their secondary structure includes four short double-helical elements and three loops (D, anti-codon, and T loops).
Source: RNAcentral